This 64-nucleotide microRNA precursor is filed under the name Caenorhabditis brenneri. Its description in RNAcentral is "microRNA cbn-mir-73b precursor". Its record names the gene cbn-mir-73b. Lineage: Eukaryota; Metazoa; Nematoda; Chromadorea; Rhabditida; Rhabditidae. The record is from miRBase by way of RNAcentral.
AGGACUGCCGAGUCUCUGCCCCAGCUAUCAGUAGUAUAUGCUGGCAAGAUUUAGGCAGUUCAGA